AGACAGUGAUGGAACGUAUAGUUGUAGCGUUUGUUGACCGUAAUCCAAUGGAGUAUGUGAAGCAUGUGAGUGUCUUGCGCUGUUUGUUGAGUGUUGGCCAUAGUCCUAUUUCAUUAUUCAUUCUGAUUCUGAACUUAGUUAAAUAGUAACUUUUCUUUAUGGAUUGUAAUAUUGUAUUAUGAAUCGUCAAGUGGACACUGCGAUCAUGAUGAUGGCAGUUUUGGUUUGCUGGGACAUGCAUUAUAUACAGGUCGACGGGCCAAUUUCUUCUUUGAUGAGUUCGUUAGAUUUCUUUUAUUAAAACAGUAAUCGCUACUUCUAUUAAUCAAUGAUCUUUACUAUCAACUUUUCGGGUAACUUUAUAUUUUAGCCUGAAUUUUUAAUUUAUUUUGGUUUUUCAAUUCUGGGGGUUAGAUUUUUCUUUCUUGGGAAGCUCUCUUUUUUUACUUGUUCACUGAAUAUUUUAGCCUUUAUUCAUUUCAUUUCAUUUUACAACUUUGCUAAUUAACUAAUAAUAAUAAUCUUAUCAUAUUUGAACUUUCUUCCCAUAGUAAAUCAACGCCAGCUGAAAUGUAAAAGACAAAUAGCAAAUUCUUUUUUCCUAGGAUUUCUGAUUUCACAUGCGCAAAUGGAAUAUGAUUUUGCAUAUGACUUUAUUUUUCUAUUCAGUUCUGCUUUCCCAUCCAAGUCCUGCUGUUGUCUUUCCCUUAUUUUUAAAUUUUGACGCGUUGUGACACAGAUUUCACUCCUCUUUUAGUAAGUGCAUGCCUCCCGCUAUUCAAAUUUCAUGUUAAUCUGGUCAAAAUCAUUCUAAGUUCCUGGAUUAUGGUGCCAGUGAACUUUUGGGAGUUCAAACAAUUCCAUACUAAUCCUUUUUUCUUUCAUUGGAGAGGUACUUAGCAGCCAAAUGAUAGCACCAUGCCUUUUUUCCCUUUUGGAAAUCUCAAUAGCCACUUCAGAAUAAGGGCUCGCUUGGUUGAAGUCAACCACCUUCAUUGUUGAUUGAAAAAAUAUAGACCAUAAAAAAGACUUCAUUUUUUGUAUGGGAUGCUAAUAAAGAUGAAUAACAUUUUUUAUCAGUAUCAUUUUAGACUGGGUUAUGCAUAAUACAUACUCUUUACCCAUGUAUGUAAAUUCAUGUCAUUGGUAUUGGAAUGUUUUGAUUAAUCCAGAUAAGAACGAGUUGGUGUUUUUUCUUUUUUUUUU
Molecule: unclassified non-coding RNA, 1206 nt
Filed under: Hevea brasiliensis (rubber tree)
Lineage: Eukaryota; Viridiplantae; Streptophyta; Magnoliopsida; Malpighiales; Euphorbiaceae
Source: RNAcentral